Molecule: ribosomal RNA, 253 nt
Filed under: uncultured bacterium
Lineage: Bacteria
Description: partial 16S ribosomal RNA
Rfam family: Bacterial small subunit ribosomal RNA
Source: RNAcentral
UACGGAGGGUGCAAGCGUUAUCCGGAUUCACUGGGUUUAAAGGGUGCGUAGGAGGGUUGGUAAGUCAGUGGUGAAAUCUCCGAGCUUAACUUGGAAACUGCCGUUGAUACUAUCAAUCUUGAAUAUCGUGGAGGUGAGCGGAAUAUGUCAUGUAGCGGUGAAAUGCUUAGAUAUGACAUAGAACACCAAUUGCGAAGGCAGCUCGCUACACGAAUAUUGACUCUGAGGCACGAAAGCGUGGGGAUCAAACGGG